AAAACAGAAAUUAAAAGGAGUUGUGGCAUAGAGCUCAGUGGUAGAAUAGUUGCUUAAAAUUUGCAAAACUUCAUGAUAGGAGCAGUUUCUAGCAUAAUAAAAUUAGUCGUAUAGAUAAAUAAGUAGAUGUAUAAAAACAAGUGAAUAGAGUCUAAAGUCAGCUUGAUAAGAGUUACGUUGGUGCUACAUAGAGAAUAAAAAGCACUUGAAGCCUGAGGCUCCCUAAGACGACCCAGUCCCUGAAAAAAAAAUCUAGGUCACUUUAGGUGGCAAGAACAUACAAGUUUGAAAGCACUGAGUCUCAGAAUGUUAUGAUUUAUAAAAGAUAUAGAUAAAACAAAAAUGCGUUACAAAUGGAGGUUUAAGCUCUGAUCCUAGAGUCGAUCCAUCACAUAACAUUCAAUACAUACAUCAUGUGUUACAUAGCAAUGCACUUACACAUAUGAUUUAUUUCAGAGACACAGUUUUAAACUAUCUGAAGGGAUUAUGCUGACUGUAAUCUUGACAGUUUCUGUGUCAAAUGCAGCAUUUUGAUCAUUCAAAUGGACAUUCAAAAUGAUCAAUUAUAGCUUUAAGUCAUUGACGUCAACAACUAAUCAUAACCAGACAUCUAUGCUCUCUUUUCAAGACUAAAUUUUGUGACACAUCCACUCACAUAGAAGCAUCGUCCACCUACACUACACACUCACACAGAAGUCUUAUAUUUUGUGAAAUUUCAUUUUUAAUUACUUCUACAAGCUAGCAAGGGUAGAACUGGCUGAUGUCAUAUUUGACAGAGGAAUACAUUUGAUCAGCUCCUCUCUCAUUUGCAGCCACUAACAGGACACGUUGCUAGACAAGAAACUGAUAGGCGAUGCUGAUAGUUUUAGUCUGUCCAUUUGCUAUUUAAGUUCAGUCUUAUUUGUUUUUUAAGCAACAGUUCAGAAUGCCCAAGAAUAACAGCAAACUAACUAUGACAAUGUAGGCAAACUGCAUUUCUAUUUUCAGUCUUGUGUUUUGCAACAAGGCAGUUAGUUAAUUUAGUUAGUACAGCCUUUCUUUUUAAUGUUGAUAUUUGCCCAAGACGUACAUUAGGUUGUCAUAAGUCUUGUGUUGAGUACUUAAAUGUUACAUGUUUUAUACACUGGAAAACUAAAGUUAACUUCAGCUUAUCAGUACCUAUUUUAAGUUUCAUGUAUAUGUUAGUGGCUAUAUUUGGGAUGAAAGUUAGAUACUACUUUAUUCUACAGAACCAUAUGUAUAAGACAACGUUUUGCUUUGUAGCUUAGGUUAGUGCCUAAUUCAUGUUCUUCCCACUUCAGUAACCUCAUACUGAAAUGACAGGCCUGUUUCACCAGAUAGAAUCUACAAAGUUGUGUUUGUUUUUACAGAUGGCCAUGGAGUAUAUUUCAAGUUGACCUCUAACUCACAACUCCCCCGCACCUCCCCCCUCAAAGAGAACCCUUUCUUCUG
RNAcentral lists this long non-coding RNA (1452 nucleotides) under Mus musculus (house mouse). RNAcentral describes it as "long non-coding RNA chr3:45399862-45401314". Lineage: Eukaryota; Metazoa; Chordata; Mammalia; Rodentia; Muridae. The record is from RNAcentral.